UCAGGAGAUUUCACCGUUAAC
RNAcentral lists this non-coding RNA (21 nucleotides) under Arabidopsis thaliana (thale cress). The record is from RNAcentral. Lineage: Eukaryota; Viridiplantae; Streptophyta; Magnoliopsida; Brassicales; Brassicaceae.